CCUGGCUCAGAUUGAACGCUGGCGGCAGGCCUAACACAUGCAAGUCGAGCGGAAACGGCAGCAUUGAAGCUUCGGUGGAUUUGCUGGACGUCGAGCGGCGGACGGGUGAGUAACGGCUGGGAACCUGCCCUGACGCGGGGGAUAACCGUUGGAAACGACGGCUAAUACCGCAUAAUGUCUCAGUUCAUUACGAGCUGGGACCAAAGGUGGCCUCUACAUGUAAGCUAUCGCGUUGGGAUGGGCCCAGUUAGGAUUAGCUAGUUGGUAAGGUAAUGGCUUACCAAGGCGACGAUCCUUAGCUGGUUUGAGAGGAUGAUCAGCCACACUGGGACUGAGACACGGCCCAGACUCCUACGGGAGGCAGCAGUGGGGAAUAUUGCACAAUGGGGGAGACCCUGAUGCAGCCAUGCCGCGUGUGUGAAGAAGGCCUUCGGGUUGUAAAGCACUUUCAGCAGUGAGGAAGGUGAUGUACUUAAUACGUGCAUGGCUUGACGUUAGCUGCAGAAGAAGCACCGGCUAACUCCGUGCCAGCAGCCGCGGUAAUACGGAGGGUGCGAGCGUUAAUCGGAAUUACUGGGCGUAAAGCGCAUGCAGGCGGUUUGUUAAGUCAGAUGUGAAAGCCCGGGGCUCAACCUCGGAACCGCAUUUGAAACUGGCAGGCUAGAGUCUUGUAGAGGGGGGUAGAAUUU
RNAcentral lists this ribosomal RNA (689 nucleotides) under uncultured bacterium. Its description in RNAcentral is "bacterial SSU rRNA". It matches the Rfam family "Bacterial small subunit ribosomal RNA", at positions 18 to 669 of the family's 1533-position model. The record is from RNAcentral.